UACGUAGGGUGCAAGCGUUGUCCGGAAUUAUUGGGCGUAAAGAGCUCGUAGGUGGCGGGUCACGUCGGGUGUGAAAGCCCGGGGCUUAACCCCGGGUUUCGCAUUCGAUACGGGUCUGCCUGGGGUCCGGCAGGGGAGACUGGAACUUCCUGGUGUAGCGGUGAAAUGCGCAGAGUAUCAGGAGGAACACCGGUGGCGAAGGCGGGUCUCUGGGCCGGUACCGACGCUGGAGGAGCGAAAGCGUGGGGAGCGAACAGG
Molecule: ribosomal RNA, 258 nt
Filed under: uncultured bacterium
Lineage: Bacteria
Description: partial 16S ribosomal RNA
Rfam family: Bacterial small subunit ribosomal RNA
Source: RNAcentral